RNAcentral lists this ribosomal RNA (389 nucleotides) under Chlorodendrales sp. Its description in RNAcentral is "partial small subunit ribosomal RNA". It matches the Rfam family "Eukaryotic small subunit ribosomal RNA", at positions 582 to 975 of the family's 1831-position model. Lineage: Eukaryota; Viridiplantae; Chlorophyta; Chlorodendrophyceae; Chlorodendrales. The record is from RNAcentral.
AUUCCAGCUCCAAUAGCGUAUAUUUAAGUUGUUGCAGUUAAAAAGCUCGUAGUUGGAUUUCGGAUGGGACCUGCCGGUCCGUCUUUGAGAUGUGCACUGGCAAGUCCCAUCUUGUUGUCGGGGACUAGCUCCUGGGCUUCACUGUCCCGGGACUAGGAGCCGACGAAGUUACUUUGAGUAAAUUAGAGUGUUCAAAGCAAGCCUACGCUCUGAAUAUAUUAGCAUGGAAUAACACGAUAGGACUCUGGCUUAUCUUGUUGGUCUGUGAGACCAGAGUAAUGAUUAAGAGGGACAGUCGGGGACAUUCGUAUUUCAUUGUCAGAGGUGAAAUUCUUGGAUUUAUGAAAGACGAACUUCUGCGAAGGCAUUUGUCAAGGAUGUUUUCAUCA